This 483-nucleotide ribosomal RNA is filed under the name Staphylococcus simulans UMC-CNS-990. RNAcentral describes it as "bacterial SSU rRNA". It matches the Rfam family "Bacterial small subunit ribosomal RNA", at positions 1 to 467 of the family's 1533-position model. Lineage: Bacteria; Bacillati; Bacillota; Bacilli; Caryophanales; Staphylococcaceae. The record is from RNAcentral.
UUAUGGAGAGUUUGAUCCUGGCUCAGGAUGAACGCUGGCGGCGUGCCUAAUACAUGCAAGUCGAGCGAACAGACGAGGAGCUUGCUCCUCUGACGUUAGCGGCGGACGGGUGAGUAACACGUGGGUAACCUACUUAUAAGACUGGGAUAACUCCGGGAAACCGGGGCUAAUACCGGAUAACACAUGAAACCGCAUGGUUUCAUGAUGAAAGAUGGUUUUGCUGUCACUUAUAGAUGGACCCGCGGCGUAUUAGCUAGUUGGUAAGGUAACGGCUUACCAAGGCAACGAUACGUAGCCGACCUGAGAGGGUGAUCGGCCACACUGGAACUGAGACACGGUCCAGACUCCUACGGGAGGCAGCAGUAGGGAAUCUUCCGCAAUGGGCGAAAGCCUGACGGAGCAACGCCGCGUGAGUGAUGAAGGUCUUCGGAUCGUAAAACUCUGUUAUUAGGGAAGAACAAGGAUGUAAGUAACUGUGCAUCC